Molecule: non-coding RNA, 29 nt
Filed under: Homo sapiens (human)
Lineage: Eukaryota; Metazoa; Chordata; Mammalia; Primates; Hominidae
Source: RNAcentral
UCCCAACGUGGUGGAGGAUGAGAUUGAUC